AAAGGUUUUCCUAAGUUCUUUCUCAGGAUGUGGAGUAUAAGUGCUGUAAACGGGAUUUCUAUCUGCCCAGUCUUUUGAAGUUAGGUGGGAGACUGAGACUUGUGGUUAUAAAUAAGUUGAGUAUUUUAACGAGACACCAGAGGUUCUCUGUAGGAAACAGAGGGAUUGUAGUUGGGUAGGUUGUGUGGUUGGUUUUAGAUGAGUGUCAAGACAUCAUGUAAUGGUCACUAUGUUUGGUUAGGUCCGAUAGUUUUAAACAGGAGCUGACAUCCGUUUGACGGACCACAGUGAACUUUUGGGGUCUGAGGAAGCCGUAAAAGGGGAUGUAAAUGGCUACUCGAUGACAGAGUUAGUCUGGAUAUUAAAGGGGUUUGUAUCCAAUAGGUGUGACAUGUUCAUGAAUAUGUUUCCGUCUAUGGGUAAUCUAUUGGUAGUUGGAGAUCGAUCUAUUUUGUUGAUACCUUUGAGAAUAAAUUUGAUGGGGUACGUGGAAAGAAAAGGUGGGUGAUUGGGAAAGGUUGUGAGGACGUGGUGCUGUAUACCUGUAAGAUGUAAUUUAAUAGUGUUAGGUGCUAAUUGUAGGUGUAGGUGGCAAAAAUAGAGUAAUUAUUUGAAACUUUAAACUCUCCACCCAAUAUGUGGAACUCAGUCAACGCCCUGUCGUAGACUCUUUUGGUGUUGGCAGACACAACGUUUCGUGAGAGUGACUGUGCGUGAGUCAAUAAUUUUGUUAAUCCAGUGUUAACUCUGGAAAUGUCGGUAUUCUGGAUGGGAGCUGGUUGGCGAAGGGAUGCACCUUGUGGAAUGCUUGAAAGUGAGAUCGGGACAAAGC
Pelobates cultripes (western spadefoot toad) is the source of this 832-nucleotide non-coding RNA. NCBI's taxonomy places the organism in Eukaryota, Metazoa, Chordata, Amphibia, Anura, Pelobatidae. The record is from the annotation of a GenBank genome assembly.